UGGGGAAUAUUGGACAAUGGGCGAAAGCCUGAUCCAGCCAUGUCGCGUGAGUGACGAAGGCCUUAGGGUUGUAAAACUCUUUCGUCGGGGACGAUAAUGACGGUACCCGAAGAAGAAGCUCCGGCUAACUUCGUGCCAGCAGCCGCGGUAAUACGAAGGGAGCUAGCGUUGUUCGGAAUCACUGGGCGUAAAGCGCACGUAGGCGGAUAGUUAAGUCAGGGGUGAAAUCCUGGGGCUCAACCCCAGAACUGCCUUUGAUACUGGCUGUCUCGAGGUCGAGAGAGGUUGGUGGAAUUCCUAGUGUAGAGGUGAAAUUCGUAGAUAUUAGGAAGAACACCAGUGGCGAAGGCGGCUCACUGGUCCGGUUCUGACGCUGAGGUGCGAAAGCGUGGGGAGCAAACAGGAUUAGAUACCCAAGUAGUCCCUGAGCGGGCUGGCAAGGCGCAU
RNAcentral lists this ribosomal RNA (447 nucleotides) under uncultured bacterium. RNAcentral describes it as "bacterial SSU rRNA". It matches the Rfam family "Bacterial small subunit ribosomal RNA", at positions 355 to 825 of the family's 1533-position model. The record is from RNAcentral.